UACGAAGGGGGCUAGCGUUGCUCGGAAUUACUGGGCGUAAAGCGCACGUAGGCGGCUUUCUAAGUCGGGGGUGAAAUCCUGGAGCUCAACUCCAGAACUGCCUUUGAUACUGGGGAUCUCGAGUCCGGGAGAGGUGAGUGGAACUGCGAGUGUAGAGGUGAAAUUCGUAGAUAUUCGCAAGAACACCAGUGGCGAAGGCGGCUCACUGGCCCGGUACUGACGCUGAGGUGCGAAAGCGUGGGGAGCAAACAGG
Molecule: ribosomal RNA, 253 nt
Filed under: uncultured bacterium
Lineage: Bacteria
Description: partial 16S ribosomal RNA
Rfam family: Bacterial small subunit ribosomal RNA
Source: RNAcentral